This 233-nucleotide ribosomal RNA is filed under the name uncultured bacterium. RNAcentral's name for it is "partial 16S ribosomal RNA". It matches the Rfam family "Bacterial small subunit ribosomal RNA", at positions 100 to 334 of the family's 1533-position model. The record is from RNAcentral.
CGGGACGGGUGAGUAAUGUAUGGGGAUCUGCCUGAUGGCGGGGGAUAACUACUGGAAACGGUAGCUAAUACCGCAUAAUGUCUACGGACCAAAGCGGGGGACCUCCGGGCCUCGCGCCAUCAGAUGAACCCAUAUGGGAUUAGCUUGUAGGUAAGGUAACGGCUUACCUAGGCGACGAUCCCUAGCUGGUCUGAGAGGAUGAUCAGCCACACUGGGACUGAGACACGGUCCAG